Molecule: ribosomal RNA, 492 nt
Filed under: uncultured bacterium
Lineage: Bacteria
Description: partial 16S ribosomal RNA
Rfam family: Bacterial small subunit ribosomal RNA
Source: RNAcentral
AGUGAACGCUGGCGGUAGGCCUAACACAUGCAAGUCGAACGGCAGCACAGUAAGAGCUUGCUCUUACGGGUGGCGAGUGGCGGACGGGUGAGGAAUACAUCGGAAUCUACUUUUUCGUGGGGGAUAACGUAGGGAAACUUACGCUAAUACCGCAUACGACCUACGGGUGAAAGCAGGGGAUCUUCGGACCUUGCGCGAUUGAAUGAGCCGAUGUCGGAUUAGCUAGUUGGCGGGGUAAAGGCCCACCAAGGCGACGAUCCGUAGCUGGUCUGAGAGGAUGAUCAGCCACACGGGAACUGAGACACGGUCCAGACUCCUACGGGAGGCAGCAGUGGGGAAUAUUGGACAAUGGGCGCAAGCCUGAUCCAGCCAUACCGCGUGGGUGAAGAAGGACUUCGGGUUGUAAAGCCCCUUUGUUGGGAAAGAAAAGCAGCAGGUUAAUACCCCGCUGUUCUGACGGUACCCAAAGAAUAAGCACCGGCUAACUUCGUG